CGACAUCAUUCAUGGACUCCAGUCUCCCUGCCAAUCGUGCGAGGGCGGCCUGCUGUUCAGCUUCUCGCUGUUGAGAGCUGCAGAGACAUACUCCUGUCGCUGCAGCUCCCGGAUGGCUGAGCGGAUCCGCCGCCGUUCUGCCAGAUCUGCAGUGACCUCCAGCUGCAAUGUAGGUGGGAGUAAGGGGUGGGCAUUCUGUCAGGGGCAAAGGACUGGCACCAACUGCCCACAGCUCUGCCAGGGGCACAAUGGAUGGCUUGUCUCCAGUCUCUCUACCCUAAGCCUUCCACGUGCCUGCCUCCCACUCAGGGUUUUUAGGGGCAACCUCGCUCAUGACACCAAAGAUCCUGAGAAGCCCACUGUGCAGUGUGAUGCCGAGGGCCCCCUUCUGUGAGUGCACAGCCUGUAGCCACCGACCCAAGCCAGGUGCCAAGCAGCCAGGCACUCCUUUGUGGGACUUGACAUCUGCUCUCCGGGGGCUUUCAUUAACCCUUUAGACCAGGGAGCCACAGCAGGAAGAGUGUAGUCACCCUUCUUCUCUGAGCUACCGACAAGAGUCCAAGGAACGAGAAGGGUGAUUCAGGUAGCUGAAGUCUGACUAGGUGAUCUACCUAGUCAGAGUAGCAGGGCCCUGCCGGGAAAGAUGUGAGACAGGGAAUCUGAGGCAGUAGCCUAGCUCCCUGCUUGGCAGUGAGUUACCUUUCCCCUUUUACUGACUAUGGCCUAGUCCUAGCCACCAUGGAAGAAGUCAAGACCUAGGGUGGGAAGGGCUAGACCCCUAGUGAGUGACCCAAAGUGUCAGACCCAGCACUAAAUCCCAUUUGCCACUUGCUUGGUUUUUUGAGACAGGGUUUCUCUGUGUAGCCCAGGCUGUUCUGGAACUUGCUCUGUAGACCAUGCUGGCCUAGAACCCAGAGACCUGCCUGCCUCUGCCUUCCAAAUGCUUGGAGUUAAGGGACGGACACACCAUCUCAGCCAGCUUCUACCGUCCUCCCUUCAAGGUUUAGUUUUAUUCAUGUGUUUGCAUGUAUCUGUAUGAGUGGAUGCCAUGUGCACAUGGGUGACUGUGGAGGCCAGAAGAGGGCAUCAGGUCUCUGGAGCCAGAGUUACCAAGUGCUGGGACUUUCGGAAGAGGAGCUAAGGCUCUUAAUUAACUGAUGGUCCCAUCCAGACCUACUCUUGAUACAUUACUUUGAUACAUCAUUUUUAUCUGAUAAGAGGGAAUUGAGUGUCUUGUUUAUGGCUUGCCUGAGACAAGAUAGCUGUGGUGUUGAGGGCUCUCUGUCAUGGUGGGGAACUUUGAGGUCCUGUACCAGAGCCCCCUUUAGCCUGCUCUAGAAAUGUCAAAGUCAAAGGAAACCUUAUUACAACCAAGAGAUCUAUGCUCACUUCUCACAGAACAUGUGGAGAUCGGUGGCCUGAGGAGACAGCUGGUCCAGACUGGUCCGGAGGGUCAAGAUCCAGAGAUACAAUGACUUUGUCUCAUGGGUCCUCAUUUCCAACCCCCAGGAAAAAAAAUACAAGAUAGGAACUUGGCCAUUUCUACAACCCCUGGGUACCUCAGUGUCUCCAUUUGGAAAUUUGGAUCCUCCUAAUGAAUUCUCUAAGUGGAAGGGGGUGGCUGGGCCUCACUCUGCUGGCCACUCCCUGGCAUCCUUCCUUUUGGGACUGUGGGCAAAGCUCUGACAAGUGUCCCUGCUGUGUCCUGUGUUCCACGCCCUCUCAAACACCAAAGGUCAGACCACAGUGUUUCUACUGUGUCUAGAGUUCCUCACCCUCUCGGUCACCCCCACUGUGUGUGGAGGGGACUGCGGGAGGGAGGGAAGGAAAUACAAAGAACUAUUGUCCGCCAGGGGGAAGGGGAUGGUUUCCGAAACUGCCUAGUGAAAUUCUCCUGGGAGGAAAGAGGGUGCUUCCUCCUCCGGUGGGAGGAUGGAGGGGGAGGGGACUGAGGCUCGGGUGCUUUCUACUCCGGCUGCUGGGGGGCAUCUAUUCAACCCAACGUUCCUAGUUUCAGGCUCUCCCUCCUGCACAAAAAGUGAUUCUCCUGUAGUUCCUCCCUCAGUCCCAGACCAGAGCUGCCCCCUGUGUUGAUAGCAAUUGGGGAAAUGCCUCGCCAGGGGGCGCUAAAAGCCCGCAGGCUGCAGCCACCAGCACAGGGCUCACUCACGCCCCACCCACCCAGUCUCCAGCCGGGCGUCCCAGCUAGGAGCCAGGCAGGAAACCCUCCGCCACCGCCGGCUUUAACGUCCCAUCUGCAAAGGAAGGGAGGUUCACAGCACCUAAGCUGCUUCCCUAGGUCACCCGGACGGGAGGUGGCAGACGUGCAAACACGUGGCAGGGGGCACAGGCAGCGUGCCUGUCCUUAGGUGCCCCUGUCCCGUGCAGCCCACCACCCCGUCCUCAGGAAUGUGCGGGAGCGGGACCGGAAGCAACUGCGGCUCCCCCAGUCAGCUGGGCACAGCUUUCCCAUAUAAGGCCGGGCCCCACGGGGAGGAGCCGGGCCCGGGACCGUUCCUGCCACGAAGCCGGAGGGUGGGACCCUCACAGCUCCAGGCACAGCAAUGGCGCGCACGGGCGCGGUGAAGCCCGGGGCUGGAGUGGGCCUGGGGCCGUGGAGACGAGACAGGGUUGGGUCUCCCUUGUCCUUUGCUCCCAGGCCCGGGGCUGGGAGGAAGCACGUCCGGCAACUACUGCUUCUGUUUCUCCUCUAACAGCACGUUUCCCAGCUUCCAAACCUUGCAUGAAUGGGGUCUGAUGGGAGUGCGUGAACACUCAGCGUGGCUUUUCCUAUGGAAAACAUGAAGACUCUGACUUGAGGGACGGCGAAGGUGACCGGUGGGCAUCUUUGGAGACCCAAUCCCAUCUCCUGGCAGCAGAGAGCCUGGAGUGGCUGCCCUUGGCAGUGGUGCAGGAUGAGGUUAAGGUUCUUGCCCCAGGACACACAGGCCAACCUCAUAGGAGAGGUCAAGGCAAUUAGACCAAGUGGCUCAAGCCUCUGCCUCUAGGGGAAAGGAUUGGUGGUGGUAUGGGUCACUUGUAAGGAAAGUAAAGUCUAUAUAAUUUUUUGCCCUUGACAGAGAGCAGGGUCUGGUUGGUGGGGCUGUGGCCCCUCUCCCCACGGCCUACAGCAGGGCCUUGCUGGUGGACGCAUAUUACUGCUCUGCUGUGUUGGCCCACUGCCUCUGUGUAUGGGAGGAGGAAGACCUUGAGUGGAGUGGACCAACCCAGUCUCUAUCCCAAAGUCAGGUUCUUCUAGCCUUUCCCAUGACUCUGGGUAUCCCAAGACUUCCCCCCACCCCCGGAGUUUGGACCCUAAUAAAGCUUUUAGCCUGGAGCGUUUGGGUAUGUGGUUUCCCCACACAGAGGGGCAGUAUGCGGGUGCUGCAUCUGUGACCUGUCAGAUACUGUGCUCAGCACCCAGCAGUUGUUCUCUGGUUUGUUACUCAUUGCUGCCCAUUAUCACUGGGCAGGCCUACAGGAGUGGGCAGUGCCCAUGCUGCUAGGAAGAGGCAGAUCCAGCCUUCCCACACCUAUAGCAGCCCAUGGGUGAGUCCCAGCAGUUACUGUUUAAACAAGAGAUGACAGUUGGGGGUGGGUAGGUACCAGGUCUCAGCACCUGACAUGGACAGGAACAUGCCACAAGAGCCUCUGGAGCAGCCAAAUGGAACCAACCUGGCGCUGUUCCCUGAGCCUCUCCUCCAAACCCCUCCCCCUCCUUAUGUACUGAGAAGUACAUAAGAAGUGGCCUACAUCCCUGGGUUGGCCACCCCACAGUACAGUAAUAGAGCUACUUAUUACCAGUUUUCGGAGGGCUCCUUCAUCCAGCCCAGCUAAAGCCUCGUCUGCCAUCUUGCUGGCCCCUAAUUCCUUCAGUAUGUCAGCUCCCGCCAGGUCCUGGUGGCACUCAGAAUUCUGCAAAAGGCAGACAUGAGUUAGGUUGCUGAAGAUUUUGUAGAAAUCUCGGUCCCCUGGGGUUUAUGCCUCUGUUGCCCUCUUUAGCCCAUAAGCGUUCAUGUCUUUCCUGUCCUACCCUGACAUGUGGCUCCUGGCUGGGAACUGUCCUCUGCCCCAGGGUAUUUUGCUGAAGAAAAAAAAAAAAAAAAAACCUCACCAAACCAAGAAUAGGUGUUUCUGUUUCAGCCUUACCAGCUUGGCUGCCAGUCUGCCCUGUGGUCUAAGUUGACAUCCUGACUAAGCCCCACACAAGAAGGGCCUGUACCUAGAUGGAGAAGAGGACUCAGCAAGGCCCACCAAGCCAUGCUUACCACCAGGGGGUACACGCCAGUCUCUAGUUACCUGCCAUACCCACUCACCUCUAGGGGCCACCGAGCCUGCCCCUCCACCCACCUCCACAAGCUGGGCGUCUGGCUGUGGGCUGAGCCCAUAUCCAAUUCUUACUAAGACUGUCAUUCCCACAGGUAUGGGAGCUACCUGUGUCUGGCAGUUCUUGGAGCCAGCCUUCAGUUUUGACUCCUUUCCUCCCUGAUGUCAGCAGACCUGACCUUGGGGAGCCAGGUGUCCCUCUCUCCCUGUCCAUUCACACACUCAGAAUUCACUCACAGUUCACUUUCCAACUGGAAGGGCCUUGGGAAGCUGACCCACCCAACCUCUGGACUUCAGGCAAACUGAGAGGAUGGGAGAUGGUCAAAGAUUCAUCACAGGGGGUCAGAAAAACUCAGACUCAAAGGGCAGAAAGAACCUAACACAAAUCUUGGUGACUUCUGCCUUCUGAAGUCCCCUUCCAAGAUGCUGCCCAAGACUCCAGGCUGUUUGUUUCUUGUUCAACCACUGACCGUCAAAAUGGAUUCCUAAAUCUGGUGCCAGUCUCUAGCCCAAAUCACUCCUUCCUGGAGUCCCCAGUGUCUCUGGAAUUUGUGGUUCCAUGGUCUAGCACACCUGGAUGUUUUGCUAAUGUGGUGACUGAAAUGGCCUCUGGACCCCCCACCUCCAUUGAUUCAUCCCGAAAUCAUCCACUCCCUCUCUACAACAGUCACUUGGUGUGAGUCACCCCAUCCGGUGAAUGGGUCUGGGGGAGUCCCAGUGCGCACUAGUUGGAGUUGGAAGGCACUGCUAGAGUCUUUACCUCCUAGUCUAGAUACUCUGUCUGGGGUAACUACCCCUCCCCAGUGCCCAAUCUUAAGUAUUGUGGACAUGCUAUGCUUCUUCAUGUUGGGUAAGGGUGUUGUUAGUUCCAAACCUAGGUGAUACUCGGGACUGUCUGCUCAGAAAUUCCUGCCACUGCUUGCCACCAUUCUCAUGGCUUCAUGCUACAGAGUUUUCAGUCCUGGGGAUUGUUAAGGCCCUGCGAGAGAUGGGUCAGGAUCUGGGAAAGAUUCCUCGAGGUAUCAGCUCCCUAUAGAUUAGUGUCUCUGGGGAUCGAGAAGCCUCUUCCAAGUCCAUAGAGUCUCUUCAAGACUCUUUCCCCAGGGUCUCAGAACUUCAACCAUGUGUCUUUGGAGUUCUCGUGAUUUGGCUAGGGUUCCCGGACCUGGGAGUUUCAGAAUCCCUGUCCAGACAUCCAGGUUUCACACCCCCUUCCCCGGACUCAUCCGGACUCCUAGAGUAGACCCGAGAUCCUCAUACCCACCUCUCAGUCCGGCCCGCCGUUCCGGCGCAGUUUCGUGUUAGUUUGGUCGGGACCCGGUAGAUGCAGUAGAGACCGGCAGACCGACGGGAGGAGCCGCAGCCCAGGAGCCCAGGCCGGUUCAGCAACGUACCCUGGACUCUGCUGCAGACGCCUGUCCCGCGGCGCCAGCCAGAUGGCUGGCUCCGCCCUGCCAAGCUGUCCCAGCCAAUUCUCUGUUGAGACACGCCCCUGCUCUGGUCCCAUUGGGAAAAUUCAAUUUUUUAGGACCCGCCCCCAAAAGACUCCAGCCCCUCACUGUACAGGCAUGUUGGGUAUUGUAGUUUUGGGGACUGCUGUUGCGAGGUCCUAGACAUCCUCGGGUGGGCUUCACCAGGAUACAGGCUCUAAGCCAAAGUCCGGAAUGUGCCACAAACCGGGCAAAUAAGUAUCUUGGGAUCCUGUAAGCCCUGAGCGGUCCUGACAGCCCCUCCCUGCCCUCCUUUUUGUUCUUGAGACCACAUCCUUUCUCCGGACUCCACCCACUAGGCGCCUUAGUACACAGACUGCCCAGUCAACUCAACGCUCAAAGGGCGCUUUCGGGACACCUGGUCUGUGCCACCUCAGGCCCCAAGAGGUGGUCCUCUCACCUUAUAUAUUGGAAAAUAAGACCUAGAGAAGGAAGCCCCUUGCGGGGGAGGCAGAAGAAAUGCGCCAAACCGACGAAGACGCCGGCUGUGGAGGUUUCCUAGUCUUCCCUACCUGAGUGGGAAGCCGAUUGCUCCAGUGAACCGCCUGCUCGCGCUGGCUGAGAUCAAUGAAUGGCCGAGGGAUGGUGCCAUGUAAAAAGGUAUCUGGUAGUGGUGGUGAUGGUGAUCUAGGCAUCAAAGGGCGACCCCGUGCAAGUGGUGAGAACUUUAUAAUGUAGGCAGGGAAGAGAAAACGUCCCGUGAAUGUACAGCAGGCACUGAAAGUCAGAUUGCCAAGAUAACAACUGUGCAAGACAGUCGGAUUCUACAAGAAGGAAGUUGAAACCCAAGGUGGUAAUGGCACUAUUAUCGCAGAAUUUUGCCUAGAACCAGAGCACCUUUCCUCCCCUUGUUAUUUCUAAGAUGGAAGAAAUCCUGGAGGGCUCCUCGGAGGUGGAUGCUAAACAUCAUUGAAGAUGAGUACAAAGAAAGUCAUCAGAUGGAAAGACAUUUUUCAGAAGAGUAAAAUCUGAGAGGCUUGUGGGUAAGAAAAGGAGGUGAGCAGAAUGUGGGUAGAAUAAGAAACAGGGGUGGUAUUAUCUGGGAACAGCCAGAUGAGAAGGAUGAAUGAAUUUGGGAGGACCUGGGAGGCUUGAGUUUCUGUCUGCUCAUCUGUAAAAGCUGCAGAACUGACCGACCGACUGGCUUCCAGGCCUCCAAAGGGCUAUAAGAGGAAAGCUCUGGAUUCUUCCACAUCCAACCCCGUUCCUGGCAGAGUUGGGGGGAGGGGCAGACACAUCUCGUGGGCCAAGGGCAAUAUUUUGCUCCAAAGCUCAAGUCCAAAAAUGAUGGUUUUACCAAGCUGGCAGCCUGGUUCCCUGAGCCAUUCCGGCUUCUUCUGCCCCAGACAGGGCCCGAGCCUGCACCUGGAGCCAAGCCUGCAUCUGGGGCGGAGCCUGCACCCGGGGCCAAGCGAGUGGCAAGAAACGUGAUGCUUUCUUGAUGCUGUUUCUGCCCUAUGCAUGGCCUCGGACUUCUCGGAGACUCAGUUUCCUUCUCUGCACAGUGGAGAUCAAUGCGUUCGGUGGUGAUCUGGGCAUUUCUAAGCAUCCCUCCCAAGCUGUACAACAGAAAACCUUUCAGAAAGAGCUUAGCCUUAGGAGAUGCCUGUAAGUGGUUACAAGGCCGACUGAGGCCUGACCCUUGGAGUGUGAAGUGAUCGAGGAGGCCGAUGGGCAACAGAAAGAAUCAGGGAGUGAGAAGUGGCUUGAUGGCUGAUGGUGCAGGCAAGGCAGGAGGAGAGAUGGUACCUAUAUUCUAAAACCCACUGAGAGCAGAGUGUAGAGGAAAGGAGCAGCAGGAGCAGCAGGCGGCAGAUGCUAGCUGUGAGACCAGACAGGAGCAGUCUAGCAAAUGAGGCCAUGGUUCUGAGAUGGGACUGGGUGGGCCCUUCCCCCCUGUUGGUAGAGCUGAGGCCCCCAUGGUCACAGCCAGCAGCUUGAGGAGCAACAUUGAUGACCUGCUUCUCAAACCAGUUUGGCAAGUCUGUCACAUGUCAUCCAGCUGUUGUGUCUCUGGGCAACUAUGCUUGACCGACUGCCAUCCUUGGAGGAGAGAGAAAAGACUACAGAACAGCUACUGGGAAGAGGGGGCACCAGAAGUACAGUCCCAGGGACAAAGGGGAGGGCUCGUGUGGGCUAACCUGGACCCCUGGGGACUUUUAAGGGGUCCCGAGUGCUGGGAGAAAGAUGUAUCCGUAGUAUGAUUUGGACCCUGGUUCCCAGUACACAUGUAGCAGUUCCAGCAUAAGGACCCUUGAGUCCAGUGAGAUGUCACCUCUGCAGAGAUGAGGCAGUCUCAGUGAGGCUACGGCAUCUGACUCCUCACCCACAACUCAGACACAGACCCUUGAUCCUGAUCACUGAACAGCUGCCCUGUGGGAGCUUGGCCCAUCUGAUACUUUGUCAGAUUUUUAAAACCAGUUCUCUGACUACUAGUGAAUGCAGGAGCCCUAGAUGUCUGUUUCAUGGUACAGAUACCUUGAGUCCCAGAGAGGACAAGGGGCAGGCCUCAAAUCACACAAAUCUUAAAUCCCGUCUUUCUUUCUCAGGGUUCGAUACACCUAAGCAUGAAAAAUAACACCAAACCUGGUACAUAUUGAUCACCUACUGUGUGUAUGGCACAUAUUGAGCACCUGCUGUUUAUACUCAGCUGUCAAGUAGGUACUGGGAUAUACCCAAUUUACAUAAGUAAAAACAACUGAAGUUCAGAGACAGGGUAAUUCUUAUCCAAGUUGACAUAGUGAGUUGAUGGCAGAGUUUGCAUUUUAGCCCAGAUGUGUGGGCCUUUUUCCUUCAGCAGACCCAGGAUUCCUUCCUGGAUACAUAAAGAGCUGUAGAUAGGAGAGCAAAUUGCUUCCUCCAAGGCCCCCAAGGCAAGCAGCAUAGACUCAAAGCCUCUGUGCAGGCCAGGCCUUUUUGGGGCUGGCAGGAAAGUGCUAAGACUGCAGAACCUUCCCAGAGGAGGCGGCAGUGGUGGGAGGGAGGGUUUAGCACCAACCUCAGAGCCAAGUGUAGACGUGGCUGCUGGACCAGCUGCAGGCAGGGUGGGGCCCAAACCCACAUGCAGCCUCCCAGCCGCGUUCCCAGCCUAGGCCCUGACUGCUCCUCUUACUCCCCAUCUGGAUUUGAGAUGAGGACUUUGGGCCUAAUAAUAGCCAAAUGGCAGACGAGGCAGUGUUUGGAUCUAUAGCCAGUGGGGGGCUGGGCCCCCCAUCAUCUCUCGAUGGCCUCAAAUAGCCUUAAAAAUAUAGCGUGCUUAUGAAAAAAUCAACAGUAACUCACUUAUUCCUCGUGAUGAGAUCAAGCUAUUACAAACCCUUUUGAUGGACAGAGUAAAUGAGAGCCACAGUUAAGCAUUUUGCACCCCCUCCAACUAAAUUUGGCAGCCAGCAGUUGCUUAGUCCUCUGAUUGUGUGCUGUGUCCCUCUGGGCACUGUUCUAAGUAGUAGCAAGGGUAUUGCCUGCAGCCAGGAUCAGAGAGAAGAGGGACUUGCCCAAGGUUACAUAGCUAUAAUGCAGACAGAGAGUAGGGACCCAGGAUGCUUCAGAAGUCAAUGCCUUAGCUUCUGAAAUACAACAAGUAAUGAGGCCCUUGCCUCUUGCUGCGUGGCUUUGACAAGUAGCCCGUGUCUGCUCUCUACUCCAUAGAAGGAGGUGCUGAUAAUGCUGUUAGCUAUUAGCCCACCUUGGGGAUAGCAGGCCAUUUAUUUCUCUUUCUCUUCUUCCUCCUCUUUUAUAUUCUAUGUCUCCUCCUCCUCUUCUUUUCCUCCCCCUCCUCCUCCCCCUCUUCCCCUUCCUCCUCCCCACACUGGGGACCACACCUGGGCUCACACUAUGAAGUGCACACAGCUCCAGCAGUUACUUUCAAUGGUGUGCUUACCUUGUGUGUGUCUUUUUCCAGUUCUCACAUUGGCCCCCAAAUAGUGACCCUUCUUUCAUCUGCCAAGUUAAUUAUGAAAAAUAUUCGCAUAAAGAGCUUAUCUACAGUGCAAAGAGAGGGUGGCUUGGGCCUGCAGAAAGGUCUAGGUUCCAUUAAGACCUUGCAUUAUACAGUUCCAGUUCUGGUUCUUUUCAUCCACUGAAAGAACUCCAAAGAUCGGAACUCAUGGUCACUGAUCAGGGCCAUCCACUGUCCUGCUCCAGUUAAGCCUGGUUCAGGAGCACAAGGGCGCCCAUUCUGUGAGGCGGAAGCAGGAAAGGAAGCAGUUACAUGUGUGUCCUCGCUGCCCUCUUGGACCACUCUUGCUCGCUUGUGAUAUGGGAUCCGCAUCAUUCUCAGGCUGCACUCAGUUGGACCUUGGAACUUAGAGGCCAGUACUUUAUUUUUACUUCUUAUUUUUCCUAUUUUAAAAUUGUGUGUUAAUGGUUUGUCUGCACAUAUGUCUGUGCACCAUGUGCAUGCAGUGCCCCAGGAGGCCAGAAGAGGGCAUCAGAUUCCCUGGAACUGCAGUUACCGAUGGUUGUGAGCUGUCAAUGGAGGAGCUGGGACUAGAACCCCAGUCCUCUGGAAGAACAAGUGCUCUAAAACACGGAGCCUUUUCUCUAGCCCCAGGGGCCAGUGUUUUCACCAGUAUUGGGAUCAAGUUCUUUUCUGAGAGCUAUACAUGAAUCAUUCAGCAGGGUCUCCCAGCUUUUCACAGUCUAUCAGUUUCUCUGUGUAGCCAUUAACCUGGUCGUGCGUGCCUAGGGUAUCUGCAUACCAAAUCCAUAAGCAAGUUCUGACACAGGUGGAUUCAGGACUCAGAACAGAGACUUGGGUGGUAGAACGUUGCCAUGGGAGAUGGUGGCAGCCAUGACACUAAUGGUCCUUGCCAUUUAGUUAGUUGAGUUUUGUUGUUGUUGUUGUUUGGCUUUAUUUUAUUUUGAGACAGGGUUUUUCUGGGUAGCCUUGGCUGUCCUGAAACUCACUGUGUAGACCAGGCUGGCAUCAAAUUCAGAGAUCCAAUUGCUUCUGCCUCUUCAGUGCUGAGAUUAAAGGGGUGUCCCACUACCUUCCUGCUUCUUGCCAAUUUUAUUAAAUAGAAUUAUGAGGCUCAGAAAAUUUGCUCAAGUCUAGAGGCUAAAAAGAAUUUUCUUGAAGUCAGAAAUGGCGGCUUUUGUUUUUAACCUCAGCAUUGGAGAGGGCAAGACAGACCAGACAGCCCAGACCUAGAGUGAAACAGAGAAAGCCCUUAAACAAACAAACAAACAAACAAACAAUGACACUAAACAAGAAGCCAGGGGUGAGGGCGUGCCGGGGACAGCCUGUGCAAACGUCCAGCUGUAACCGGGGGACACAGGGACUCUUUCGCCAGCUCUUAGUCUUGUAAACAAAAUAAUUUAAAAUGGACUCGGAAGGAAACGAUGGCAAUCUACUGGUGUUUAAGACAGAAAACCAGAGGGGAGUCAAACUGUAGCCCUCCAUGGCUGCUGAGCAGAGGAAGGUGAAGGAAAGAAGAACAGGGAGCUUGCCACUUGAGUUUUGAGUCAGGAAAGCAAGGUAAGAGGAAGGGUCUGGCAGCUGCUGCAUCUUCCAGGGAGAGAGGCUCAGAGUCCGCCGCCCGCCGGGGGAGUGGGAGAUGGAAAGGGGUGGAGUCCCACAGGGCAGGCGCUGCAGUGUCAGUGGGCUAGCCCCUGCAUUGAGGGGGCCUUUGCCGUGUUUAAAAACGAAUUUCACUAUGUGGGAUACUUAUUCCUUCAAGCGCUUAUUCCUCUCUCUUUUCUUAUCAUAUCUACAGGUGUAUCCAGGGGUUGGUCUUCUUUAGGUCAGAAAACAAGAUUUUCUUCUCACCAGGAGGUCUCCAGCCUCCUCUGAGCAAGGGAAGCACCUGCUGUCUCCAUCAGAAGGGCUUUUCAGCCACUGACUGAGCCAUUUGGAAACUGGAUGCCACACUGUCUCAGAGGAAGCUGACAUUGUGAGAGUCACACUCUGAAGCAAGCCCAGGGAAGUGGACAGGGGCAAAGGGCCCCUUCCUUUUGCUUUCAUUUGCUCCCUUUUUACUUGGCACUCUUUAUCUCUAAGGCAAGAACAGGAUCCUACUUGUACUGGCUGGCUUUAUGUCAACUUGACCCAAGCUGGAGUUAUAUGAGAGGCUGGAACCUCAAUUAAGAAAAUGCCUUCCUAAAGGCUGGGCUGUGGGCAAGCCUGUGGGGCAUUUUCUUAACUAGUGCUUGACGUGGGAGGGCCCAGCCCAUUGGGAGUGGUGUAAUACCUGGCCUGGUGGUCCUGGGCUCUAUAAGAAAGCAGGCUGAACAAGCUGUGGGGGGCAAGCCAGUCAGCAGCACCUUCCAUGACCUCUGCAUCAGUUUCUGCCUCCAAGUUCCUGCUCUGUUUGAGUUUCUGUCUGGAGUUCUUUUGAACAGUGCUGUGGAAGUGUAAGCUGAAUAAACCCUUUCCUUCC
Long non-coding RNA from Mus musculus (house mouse), 12196 nucleotides. RefSeq annotates it as predicted gene 11946. The transcript is spliced from 5 exons. The record is from RefSeq and is a predicted model, not a curated record. Lineage: Eukaryota; Metazoa; Chordata; Mammalia; Rodentia; Muridae.